This 1089-nucleotide long non-coding RNA is filed under the name Daphnia magna. Its description in RNAcentral is "uncharacterized LOC123473960, transcript variant X5". The record is from RNAcentral. Lineage: Eukaryota; Metazoa; Arthropoda; Branchiopoda; Diplostraca; Daphniidae.
AGGUGCCUUCUUUAUUUUUAUUCACAACAGAACACAGAAGUAUAGUUGAGAAAAAACAAAACACAAUCCUGUCGAGAUUUAGGAACCGUACAACCGAGAAAAUCGAAUGAACACGUGGAAAAAUUCUUGUCAAUAGUGAAAUCUUCAAAGGUCUAGCUCGUUCCCUGCACGACUUCGAUUUAAUCCCGGUAGAAUCUUCCCUCUAGCUAUGUCAAAGUUGACUGUUGGCUCUUUUCUGCACAAAUUCCAUUACCAAAAAAUAAGGUAGUAUACCUUUUACUUCACUGGACAGUUCAGCCUUCAACUGGAAACUGAGAGUGUGUGACCAUAGUGAGUGGCAUUUUUUUGGGUUUCAGCACACAAAUAAGGUGUUCUUCACUUGUUGAUAUUUGCUGGCAACGCUACUUUUAUCAGGCUACACUGGACGACACAACACACAAGAAAAUGAAUUUGUAUUGACGUUCGAUCGACGAUACACACCAACAUGACAGAAAGUUCUCCGAUGUUUAUGUGGUCAGUAUGUUAUGAAUGAACUAUGUAUAUUUUUGAAUGAUUUCUUCAUAACAGCCCAUGGAAAAAUGAGGUUGAAGACGCGCAAUGGGUAUCGAUGAAUGAUAUAUCACGCUCGGAUAAUCAAGCGACUUAACAGUUAAAGGUCAGCAGGUGUUUGCUAUUGAGGCUUAUUGGGUGUUAGAUGAUUAUUUACCUAUACCGUUUUCUUAAAGCACGAAGAUGGAGAAGAUGAUUGAGAUCUACCGAGAGAUUGGUGCAAUGACAAGUCUAUUCUACUAAAAAUAUGUUAAUGUGGGUUAGCUAGAAAACUAGCGAUAAUCGCUUUUCGCGGUUGAUUGAAAAUUGGACACUGCACCAAGAGCUCACAUCUACGCAUCACCUGCAAACACGCAUUUAACAAGAUAAAUUGAAGAAAAAGAUAAGGAGACUAAAAAUUGCGUUUUUUUUGUCUUUUCCCUAAUAAUUCGUAUGACAAAUCAUACGAAUUAACGUCUGAUGCAUGGCUGAAUAAUAUAUUCAAGAAAAAUAAAAAAGGCGUGUAACAACGAUCAGAAUAAAGAAGAAGUUUCCGCGUCA